CGCCAAUGAUUUGAGUAGCUAGAUAUCGUAAACGUCACCGACGUCUUUGUCUCUGCAGGCGACUGUUCCCCAAAACCAAAUCGGAUGAAGUUUUUUUUUUAAAACGUCUCACGUCGAUAAAGUAGAUUUCUUUCAAGAUGACGACUGAGGGGGAAUACGAAUCAAUUAUCUGUGUUAAACCAGAUAUCAGUGUUUACCGCAUCCCACCUCGAGCUACGAAUCGUGGAUACAGAGCGGCUGACUGGAAGUUGGAUGCUCCUGAUUGGACAGGGCGGAUGCGGAUAACUGCAAAGGGAAAGGUGGCAUAUAUCAAACUGGAAGACAAACUCUCAGGUGAGCUGUUUGCUCAGGCACCAGUUCAGGAAUACCCUGGUAUUGCCGUGGAGACGGUUAAUGAUUCCAGCCGGUACUUCGUGCUCCGAAUACAAGAUGAUAACGGUCGGAGUGCAUACAUUGGGGUUGGAUUCAGUGACAGGGGUGAUGCGUUUGAUUUCAGUGUUGCUCUGCAGGAUCAUUUCAAGUGGGUGAAACAGGAGAAUGAAAUCAGCAAAAGUGCUCAGGCUGCAGACUCUGGGCCAAAGAUGGAGCUGGGCUUUAAGGAGGGACAGACCAUUACACUCAACAUUGGGCAAGGCAAAAAAAGGGAUAAGCCCCGCCCCCAGAGUUCAGGAGGCCUUGGCCUUCUCCCACCUCCCCCUGGAGGCAAAAUAGCCCCUCCACCUUCUUCUAAACAUAACAUGGAACAACACCUAGGGGGAGCACAGAUUGGUUGUUUGUUAGAAUUGGAUAGUAGUAACUCCAAUACAGUGGUUCAGGCAAACCUGAGUUCAGACCUGUGGGGUGACUUCUCUUCCACUGCAAGGUAACAACCCCAGACAAUCUUAACUGCUGUUCUAAGUCCACCUUUUCAAAGUCCUAAUCAUUAAAACAGCUCUGUUCCUUCUUCAGCACCACAACAAGAACCAACUUCUGGGAACUGGGUCCAGUUUUGAUCAUCAUUUUAUCAUCUGCCACAUCAUUUCAUGAGAUAUCCCAUAAGUCUGUCACUGACUAAACAUUCAAAGUGAAAUGUAUUAGAUCAUUAGUUAAGGGACCUUAGAAAGAACUGAUGUGUUACAGAUUAAAUCAUGAAUUUCUUCAACCUCAGAAACCUCAGAAAUUAAUA
Electrophorus electricus (electric eel) is the source of this 1165-nucleotide RNA transcript. It is a transcript of the gene named NECAP endocytosis associated 1, with no coding region annotated. NCBI's taxonomy places the organism in Eukaryota, Metazoa, Chordata, Actinopteri, Gymnotiformes, Gymnotidae. The record is from RefSeq and is a predicted model, not a curated record.